Molecule: long non-coding RNA, 236 nt
Filed under: Homo sapiens (human)
Lineage: Eukaryota; Metazoa; Chordata; Mammalia; Primates; Hominidae
Description: non-protein coding lnc-ZNF184-1:1
Source: RNAcentral
UGGCGGCGCGAUGGAGCAGCGAGAACGUAGUGGUAGAGUUUCGUGACUCCCAGGCAACUGCGAUGUCUGUGACUGUCUUGGGCAACAUGCAGUGCUUUCUGGCGGCAGAUUCUUAUACAUCGUCAAUCUCGAUGUCGCUUUCGAAGGUCACCGAAAGAUCUGUCGCCAGAGCAAAUGGAACAUUGGAGCUGUGCAGUGGAAACUUCGUGACAGCUUUGUACACUAUUUUUCAGCUU